This 460-nucleotide ribosomal RNA is filed under the name uncultured bacterium. Its description in RNAcentral is "partial 16S ribosomal RNA". It matches the Rfam family "Bacterial small subunit ribosomal RNA", at positions 338 to 795 of the family's 1533-position model. The record is from RNAcentral.
CCUACGGGUGGCAGCAGUGAGGAAUAUUGGUCAAUGGACGAGAGUCUGAACCAGCCAAGUAGCGUGAAGGAUGACUGCCCUAUGGGUUGUAAACUUCUUUUAUAUGGGAAUAAAAUGUUCCACGUGUGGGAUUUUGUAUGUACCAUAUGACUAAGGAUCGGCUAACUCCGUGCCAGCAGCCGCGGUAAUACGGAGGAUCCGAGCGUUAUCCGGAUUUAUUGGGUUUAGAGGGAGCGUAGGUGGAUUGUUAAGUCAGUUGUGAAAGUUUGCGGCUCAACCGUAAAAUUGCAGUUGAAACUGGCAGUCUUGAGUACAGUAGAGGUGGGCGGAAUUCGUGGUGUAGCGGUGAAAUGCUUAGAUAUCACGAAGAACUCCGAUUGCGAAGGCAGUUCACUGGACUGCAACUGACACUGAGGCUCGAAAGUGUGGGUAUCAAACAGGAUUAGAUACCCGGGUAGUC